UUAUGAUUCAGUUUUGGACAAACAUUAUGUAGACCAAACAUUUUUGUUAAAGUUCAGGAAUGGCAAAUUUUUGUUUUGACUAAGAAAAUUGCUGUAUUUUCCCAUUUUGCAUGCAACAUGGUGUGAAUCAAAUUUUAAGGAUUGUACAUACUACCAUGCAACUUUUGUUCAAUUCAAAUUAUAAAUAAAAUAAUCAAUAUCAGCUUUUGAAAUGCUGGAUACAUUUCCUAGUGUCUGGCAGCCAUAUUUUUAUUCUUGAUGAGAAGAAAGGAAAGAUAACAAAAUAUUUAUAUAUGGUUUUCUUCUUAGCUUUGCGGCUGUCUUUGUUGUAGGUAGUGCUGCUUCAUACAAUCAUAUUUAUCCACAAUAUAAUAAUGAUGAGACCCAGGGUGGUAUCAGGGUUUGAGCAUUGGACUAUGACUCUGGAAACCAGGGUGUGAAUUCUCGCUCAGCCAUGGAAACCAUUUGGAUUAUUUGGAGCAAACCACAUACUCACAAUCCCAUAGGAAGGCAACAGCCUUUAAAAACUAAUCUUGUCAAGAAAGGGCUACCUUUAGAUCUCCAUCAGUCUAAAAUGACUUGAAGGAAUGCAGCGAAAACAACAUCAUUGAAUGAUGGUGAAUGAACUUUCUUUUGUCUUUAAACAGCAACAGUGCAUUUAUUAUUGAACUGGCUAAAAUACAUUAUUCUGGACAGAUUAGAAUAGUCCUUAGUUUUAUACAGUGAAGCUUUCAAGUGGAACUAUGCAGCAGAUGGAGUUGGAACAUUAUGCCCAGAACUGGAUACAUGUUGUUUUCAUGAAACCACAGCCAGUGAAACCAUUGACUACCCUCAUAGUGUGGAGAAGAAUUGGCAGCUCAUUUCAUGCUAAGAAAGGGUUAAGAAUCCUGACAGUAGGUGGGAGAAGUAGUCUUGUAGGUAUCCCUUGGAUUUCUCCCCAGGCUUCAAACUGUAUUGAUUUUACAUAUUAGGAACUUCUGCCAUCUAGUGAUUGACAAAGGUAUUUCAGGCUUCAAAAAUUAUUUAAUAAAAUACAUUGGUUUAGAAAAUGUACAUUCCUUUAUGACACUAUCAACACGCAUUCCACUUUUCAGAUGUUUUGUUGUCUUGGAACCUUGGGUCUGUCAGAGAAACACAAAGUCUAUAAUAUUAUUUUAGUUUUAGCUUAUAAGUAGACAAGCUUCUUAAUUAGCUUGCUAGUUAACAGGUAGGAUUUUAUCCAACUAUUGUCUACAAGAGAAGAUUAAGUGUAUAGCAUAAGUGAGCAACCACCUCCUUGUUGGACUAAAUCUUAAGACUUCCCUUGUUAACUUGCCAAAUAUAGAUAAUACUCCUAGAAAUAAGAAUUCCCAUUCCAAGUUCCUCCUCUUUAUUUCUUAGAGGUGCAAAUAUUAUGUAUGUAUAUGUGUUUCCAAAAGGUCCCAGGUUCAAAUCCCAGGAGUGGAAUGAGCACCCGCUGUUAGCCCCAGCUCCUGCCAACCUAGCAGUUUGAAAACAUGCAAAUACUUGUGACAUUUCUCUUCCACAGUCCUACCAGCUUAAUUCUCUGGAUUGCUGAAGGAUAAAGUUAAAAGACAAGAAAGGUGAAAUGGGUGGUAUAUCAGACAGCUUAUUAAAGAGACAAGCUUGCUGCUUUCCCAAAGUGAGAUGACAGAACCAGUCAUGAUCUUGUAUGGAAGGAAAAUGAGAUCCCUAGUGAAGUCUACAGUGUGAUUGACUCUGAAGAAAGACUCUGAGACCCCUUGGUGCUUAAUGACCCUUAUUGGCCUGUUCAAUGGGAACUGCAGUGUGCUCAUCAUCUUCUCAGCAACAGAGAAAAAGCAAUACAGUAUCCUACUUCAAUUUCCUACUCGGAGCAGCCCACCGAACUGGAGCAUUGUUUCCUCCUUUCAGCUGUUCUGAUUAAAGAAAGUGUGGAGAUACUUUUAAAGUAAGACAUUUCUACAGGUGGAAAAAGCAACCAAGAAUGAUGUUCCGUGUCCUUAUACAGCAGGAAUCGAAAGAGGAAAAUCACAUGGUGCAUCAAAUUAACAGUAUACCUGUGGAAAGAAUCUAGUGGGCCAUAGGAAACAGUUUUUCCAAAUACUGCUGAGAUUGUAUCUCCUUAUGGGAGAAUUCUGUGUGUUGUGUGUUUGAUGUCCAUCUUAUUACACAAUUAAAAAAUCUUUACUUCAA
Anolis carolinensis (green anole) is the source of this 2175-nucleotide long non-coding RNA. RefSeq lists it as uncharacterized. The record is from RefSeq and is a predicted model, not a curated record. NCBI's taxonomy places the organism in Eukaryota, Metazoa, Chordata, Lepidosauria, Squamata, Anolidae. The transcript is spliced from 5 exons.